AUUGAACGCUGGCGGCAUGCCUUACACAUGCAAGUCGAACGGUAACGGGCCUUCGGGUGCCGACGAGUGGCGAACGGGUGAGUAAUACAUCGGAACGUGCCCGAUCGUGGGGGAUAACGAGGCGAAAGCUUUGCUAAUACCGCAUACGAUCUACGGAUGAAAGCAGGGGACCGCAAGGCCUUGCGCGGACGGAGCGGCCGAUGGCAGAUUAGGUAGUUGGUGGGAUAAAAGCUUACCAAGCCGACGAUCUGUAGCUGGUCUGAGAGGAUGAUCAGCCACACUGGGACUGAGACACGGCCCAGACUCCUACGGGAGGCAGCAGUGGGGUAUUUUGGACAAUGGGCGCAAGCCUGAUCCAGCCAUGCCGCGUGCAGGAUGAAGGCCUUCGGGUUGUAAACUGCUUUUGUACGGAACGAAAAGCCUUCUUUUAAUACAGGAGGGUCAUGACGGUACCGUAAGAAUAAGCACCGGCUAACUACGUG
Molecule: ribosomal RNA, 482 nt
Filed under: uncultured bacterium
Lineage: Bacteria
Description: partial 16S ribosomal RNA
Rfam family: Bacterial small subunit ribosomal RNA
Source: RNAcentral